GGACACACAACGGUGUUCCACCUAAAGCGCUAACAGACAGACGGAUCGCGCAUCAACAGGUUGCACCAAUUUAUAGGAGAUCCCGUUUUAUGUCUUGUUUCAGGGUCCAAAGCCAGUGCAUGGCGUGACCUUGUAGGCCACACCUGGCCACAUCAUGUCAGACCUGCUGUGACCCCGCCACAUCUGGAGCCGACAUGCAGCAGAAAUGUGAUGUCCACUUUCUUUACCGAGGUCCUCUGACAUCUGCAAAAUGUCUACCGCCCAUCCUCGUCCCACUGUAAACUGUUUGUGUGCGCUGCCUGCCGGUUGCCAUGGUGAUGGGCC
Long non-coding RNA from Salarias fasciatus (jewelled blenny), 324 nucleotides. RefSeq lists it as uncharacterized. The record is from RefSeq and is a predicted model, not a curated record. NCBI's taxonomy places the organism in Eukaryota, Metazoa, Chordata, Actinopteri, Blenniiformes, Blenniidae. The transcript has 3 exons.